GAUGAACGCUAGCUACAGGCUUAACACAUGCAAGUCGCGGGGUAACAUCUGGGAGAGCUUGCUCUUCCAGGAUGACGACCGGCGCACGGGUGAGUAACGCGUAUCCAACCUGGCCCAUACCACGGGAUAGCCCGUCGAAAGGCGGAUUAAUACCGUAUGCUGUCAUCAAGAUGCAUAUAUUGAUGACGAAAGGACUGGCGGUAUGGGAUGGGGAUGCGUCUGAUUAGCUUGUUGGCGGGGUAACGGCCCACCAAGGCGACGAUCAGUAGGGGUUCUGAGAGGAAGGUCCCCCACAUUGGAACUGAGACACGGUCCAAACUCCUACGGGAGGCAGCAGUGAGGAAUAUUGGUCAAUGGGCGGAAAGCCUGAACCAGCCAAGUAGCGUGAAGGGAAGACUGCCCUAACGGGUUGUAAACCUCUUUUUGUUUUGGGAAUAAAGUGCGGGCGUGUCCCCGCAUUGCAUGUACCAUUUGAAAUAAAGGACCGGCUAAUUCCGUGCCAGCAGCCGCC
RNAcentral lists this ribosomal RNA (511 nucleotides) under uncultured bacterium. RNAcentral describes it as "bacterial SSU rRNA". It matches the Rfam family "Bacterial small subunit ribosomal RNA", at positions 28 to 519 of the family's 1533-position model. The record is from RNAcentral.